This 292-nucleotide ribosomal RNA is filed under the name uncultured bacterium. RNAcentral's name for it is "partial 16S ribosomal RNA". It matches the Rfam family "Bacterial small subunit ribosomal RNA", at positions 44 to 334 of the family's 1533-position model. The record is from RNAcentral.
GUGCCUAACACAUGCAAGUCGAACGAGAAAGGGGAGCAAUCCCUGAGUAAAGUGGCGACCGGGUGAGUAACACGUGACUAACCUACCUUCGAGUGGGGGAUAACCUAGGGAAACCUGGGCUAAUACCGCAUAACAUCUUUGGAGUGGAAAUUCUGGAGAUCAAAGGAGUAAUUCGCUUGAAGAGGGGGUCGCGGCUGAUUAGCUAGUUGGCGGGGUAAUGGCCCACCAAGGCUUUGAUCGGUAGCCGGCCUGAGAGGGCGCACGGCCACACUGGAACUGAAACACGGUCCAG